RNAcentral lists this ribosomal RNA (34 nucleotides) under Agaricostilbomycetes sp. TY-223. RNAcentral describes it as "partial 26S ribosomal RNA". The record is from RNAcentral. Lineage: Eukaryota; Fungi; Basidiomycota; Agaricostilbomycetes.
AAGUUCCAAACAGUGCAUUUUUGGACCUCAAAUC